CACCUGGUUGAUCCUGCCCAGUAGUCAUAUGCUUGUCUCAAAGAUUAAGCCAUGCAUGUCUAAGUAUAAGCUUUAAACGGCGAAACUGCGAAUGGCUCAUUAAAACAGUUAUAGUUUAUUUGGUGAUCGAUUACUAUUUGGAUAACCGUAGUAAUUCUAGAGCUAAUACAUGCGUCAAGGCCCGACUUCGGAAGGGCUGCGUUUAUUAGAUACAGAACCAACCUAGGCUCCGCCUAGUCCUUGUUGGUGAUUCAUAAUAACCCGGCGAAUCGCACGGCUUGUCCGGCGAUGGACCAUUCAAGUUUCUGACCUAUCAGCUAUGGACGGUAGGGUAUUGGCCUACCGUGGCGUUGACGGGUAACGGGGAAUUAGGGUUCGAUUCCGGAGAGGGAGCCUGAGAAACGGCUACCACAUCUAAGGAAGGCAGCAGGCGCGCAAAUUACCCAAUCCUGAUACAGGGAGGUAGUGACAAGAAAUAACAAUACAGGGCAAUUCUGUCUUGUAAUUGGAAUGAGUAGAUUUUAAAUCUCUUUACGAGUAUCAAUUGGAGGGCAAGUCUGGUGCCAGCAGCCGCGGUAAUUCCAGCUCCAAUAGCGUAUAUUAAAGUUGUUGCGGUUAAAAAGCUCGUAGUUGGAUUUCUGCCUUGGGCGACCGAUCCACCUUUCCUACGGGAUUGGUCGGUAUCAGGUUUGACCUUGGCUUUUUCUUGGGAUUCGUGCUCACGUACUUAACUGUGCGUUGACCGUGUUCCAAGACUUUUACUUUGAGGAAAUUAGAGUGUUUCAAGCAGGCUUAUGCCAUGAAUACAUUAGCAUGGAAUAAUAGGAUAUGACUUCGGUCAUAU
RNAcentral lists this non-coding RNA (844 nucleotides) under Perkinsus marinus ATCC 50983. Its description in RNAcentral is "Eukaryotic small subunit ribosomal RNA". It matches the Rfam family "Eukaryotic small subunit ribosomal RNA", at positions 1 to 839 of the family's 1831-position model. Lineage: Eukaryota; Perkinsozoa; Perkinsida; Perkinsidae. The record is from Rfam by way of RNAcentral.